UUGUUAGAGAGAUAUGUUCUGUUUGCAACCAAGACAUGCCUUCGCUGUGAGCAUUCCUAUAAAUGAAAGAGGAAGGACAGUUGAAUCAGUAUAUUUGAUGAGCUGAUCUAUGCUGCCAUGGGACACUAGCAAACACCUUACCUCCAGCCACAACUCUUAAAUGCAUCUAUGGAGACAGCACUUGGAGACUUGCAAGAUGAUGUGAUGGAAUUCUGAGGCUUGAUACUGAUGUCUUUGAAUGGAGAGAGGCCUGGCACUCAAUACAUCCACCAUUUGGGACUGAACUGACAUUGGUAAUAGAACAGUGACUAUGUGUUCACUGAAACAUAUAUGGAGUCAGCACAUGAAGACUUUAAAGAUGAUGUGAUUAAGUCCGGACUGACAGAAAGGCUUGAUACCGAUUUAUCUAAUUGUAGCGAGA
Long non-coding RNA from Oncorhynchus keta (chum salmon), 421 nucleotides. RefSeq lists it as uncharacterized. The record is from RefSeq and is a predicted model, not a curated record. Lineage: Eukaryota; Metazoa; Chordata; Actinopteri; Salmoniformes; Salmonidae. The transcript has 3 exons.